CUUAGCUCAGUUGGAUAGAGCACCAGACUUCUAAUCUGGCGGCCGGUGGUUCGAAUCCACCA
Molecule: transfer RNA, 62 nt
Filed under: zebrafish metagenome
Rfam family: tRNA
About the family: Transfer RNA (tRNA) molecules are approximately 80 nucleotides in length.
Source: RNAcentral